UACGUAGGGUGCGAGCGUUAAUCGGAAUUACUGGGCGUAAAGCGUGCGCAGGCGGUUGGCAAAGUCAGCUGUGAAAGCCCCGGGCUUAACCUGGGAAUGGCGGUUGAAACUAGUCGACUAGAAUCUGGCAGAGGGGGGUGGAAUUCCACGUGUAGCAGUGAAAUGCGUAGAGAUGUGGAGGAACACCUGUGGCGAAGGCGGCCCCCUGGGCCGGCCCUGACACUGAGACGCGAAGGCGUGGGGAGCGAACGGG
RNAcentral lists this ribosomal RNA (253 nucleotides) under uncultured bacterium. RNAcentral describes it as "partial 16S ribosomal RNA". It matches the Rfam family "Bacterial small subunit ribosomal RNA", at positions 524 to 776 of the family's 1533-position model. The record is from RNAcentral.